RNAcentral lists this ribosomal RNA (117 nucleotides) under Candidatus Dojkabacteria bacterium. The record is from RNAcentral.
UCUGGUGGUUGUAGCGCAGUGGUCCUACACCUUCCCAUACCGAACAGGAAUGUAAAACACUGUAGCGCCGAAAAUACUUGGGAGUUACCUCCCUGGGAAGAUAGGUCGCCGCCAGAA